CCUACGGGAGGCAGCAGUGAGGAAUAUUGGUCAAUGGACGAGAGUCUGAACCAGCCAAGUAGCGUGAAGGAUGACUGCCCUAUGGGUUGUAAACUUCUUUUAUAAAGGAAUAAAACGAGGCACGUGUGCCUUUUUGCAUGUACUUUAUGAAUAAGGAUCGGCUAACUCCGUGCCAGCAGCCGCGGUAAUACGGAGGAUCCGAGCGUUAUCCGGAUUUAUUGGGUUUAAAGGGAGCGUAGAGGGGUUGGUAAGUCAGUUGUUAAAGUUUGCGGCUCAACCGUAAAACUGCAAUUGAUACUGGCAGUCUUGAGUACAGUUGAGGUAGGCGGAAUUCGUGGUGUAGCGGUGAAAUGCUUAGAUAUCACGAAGAACCCCGAUUGCGAAGGCAGCUUACUAAACUGUGACUGACAUUGAUGCUCGAAAGUGUGGGUAUCAAACAGGAUUAGAUACCCCAGUAGUC
This 460-nucleotide ribosomal RNA is filed under the name uncultured bacterium. RNAcentral's name for it is "partial 16S ribosomal RNA". It matches the Rfam family "Bacterial small subunit ribosomal RNA", at positions 338 to 795 of the family's 1533-position model. The record is from RNAcentral.